RNAcentral lists this ribosomal RNA (466 nucleotides) under uncultured bacterium. RNAcentral describes it as "bacterial SSU rRNA". It matches the Rfam family "Bacterial small subunit ribosomal RNA", at positions 28 to 506 of the family's 1533-position model. The record is from RNAcentral.
GACGAACGCUGGCGGCGUGCUUAACACAUGCAAGUCACGGGGGCCCGCAAGGGCAACCGGCGAACGGGUGCGUAACACGUGAGCAACCUGCCGAUCUGAGGGGGAUAGCCGGCCCAACGGCCGGGUAAUACCGCAUACGUUCUCGAGGGGGAGUCCUCUUGAGAAGAAACCUCCGGGGCAGAUCGAGGGGCUCGCGGCCUAUCAGCUAGUUGGCGGUGUAAUGGACCACCAAGGCGACGACGGGAGCUGGUCUGAGAGCACGACCAGUCACACGGGCACUGAGACACGGGCCCGACUCCUACGGGAGGCAGCAGUAAGGAAUAUUGGUCAAUGGACGCAAGUCUGAACCAGCCAUGCCGCGUGAAGGAUGAAGGCCCUCUGGGUUGUAAACUUCUUUAUCCGGGACGAAACCACCUUUUUCCAAAGGUGUUGACGGUACCGGAGGAAUAGCACGGGCUAACUCCGU